RNAcentral lists this ribosomal RNA (443 nucleotides) under uncultured bacterium. Its description in RNAcentral is "bacterial SSU rRNA". It matches the Rfam family "Bacterial small subunit ribosomal RNA", at positions 29 to 517 of the family's 1533-position model. The record is from RNAcentral.
AACGAACGCUGGCGGCAGGCCUAACACAUGCAAGUCGAACGCCGUAGCAAUACGGAGUGGCAGACGGGUGAGUAACACGUGGGAACAUACCCUUCGGUUCGGAAUAACUCAGGGAAACUUGAGCUAAUACCGGAUACGUCCGCGAGGAGAAAGAUUCAUCGCCGGAGGAUUGGCCCGCGUCUGAUUAGCUUGUUGGUGAGGUAAUGGCUCACCAAGGCGACGAUCAGUAGCNGGUCUGAGAGGAUGAUCAGCCACAUUGGGACUGAGACACGGCCCAAACUCCUACGGGAGGCAGCAGUGGGGAAUAUUGGACAAUGGGCGCAAGCCUGAUCCAGCCAUGCCGCGUGAGUGAUGAAGGCCCUAGGGUUGUAAAGCUCUUUUGUGCGGGAAGAUAAUGACGGUACCGCAAGAAUAAGCCCCGGCUAACUUCGUGCCAGCAGCCG